UUGACGGGGGCCCGCACAAGCGGCGGAGCAUGCGGAUUAAUUCGAUGCAACGCGAAGAACCUUACCAAGGCUUGACAUACACCGGUAACGCCCAGAGAUGGGUGCCCCUUUGUGGUCGGUGGACAGGUGGUGCAUGGUUGUCGUCAGCUCGUGUCGUGAGAUGUUGGGUUAAGUCCCGCAACGAGCGCAACCCCUAUUGUUAGUUGCCAUCAUUCAGUUGGGCACUCUAGCGAGACUGCCGGUAAUAAACCGGAGGAAGGUGGGGAUGACGUCAAAUCAUCAUGCCCCUUAUGACCUGGGCUACACACGUGCUACAAUGGUUGGUACAACGAGUUGCGAGUCGGUGACGGCGAGCUAAUCUCUUAAAGCCAAUCUCAGUUCGGAUUGUAGGCUGCAACUCGCCUACAUGAAGUCGGAAUCGCUAGUAAUCGCGGAUCAGCACGCCGCGGUGAAUACGUUCCCGGGCCUU
RNAcentral lists this ribosomal RNA (469 nucleotides) under uncultured Streptococcus sp. RNAcentral's name for it is "bacterial SSU rRNA". It matches the Rfam family "Bacterial small subunit ribosomal RNA", at positions 910 to 1382 of the family's 1533-position model. Lineage: Bacteria; Bacillati; Bacillota; Bacilli; Lactobacillales; Streptococcaceae. The record is from RNAcentral.